Molecule: long non-coding RNA, 1138 nt
Organism: Drosophila sechellia
Lineage: Eukaryota; Metazoa; Arthropoda; Insecta; Diptera; Drosophilidae
Exons: 2
Source: RefSeq, a predicted model, not a curated record
GACCAUUCCCAGGAUGAUCAACAGACAACCGAUCGUUUGGAAUCUACCGUACUCCAUGUUCACUGAAUCUCACUUGGGGCACAAAUGAUAAUGUGCUUAAUUUCGGCUGGUGUUUGCCAAUCCCGAUACCGAUCCCGAUUUCGUACCCAAUCCCGAUCCCGAUCCCGAUCUCAGUACGAAAACGAAACCGCAGCUUGAGACAGGUCAAGCGACGUUUUAUGAAUCAUUUCCAUUUUCGGGGGCCGUUGUCUUUGUCUUUGUCUCUGCUUCGGAUUUCACAUCCAAAGAGCGUUCACACCGAAAACUUCAAAGUGCACGACUUCUAGGAAAGCUCGAGCAAUAAACCCCUGCGAUGCCGACUGGGAAGAGUCUACACUUUCUUGGCUCCCCAGCUCGCCAGCUUAAAUAUAGAAUAUUUAAGUAGAUCGUUAAUCUGCGAGUCAAGUUCAAGCCAGAGAAAGCCAAGUCUGGGCAUUUAGUUAAGGUUUGAGCAUCCAUUAGACUGGUACACACAGGUGCUAUAUUCAGCGCAGUCUGCUGAUAUUUCAUACAACCAAACGUUCUAUUAUCCAGACCAAAAAAAGUAUCUGAAAUUGGAGCACCCAGCUCAGGAUUUAUAGCGUGGGUGUCUCUGGGAGUUCAAUGACUUUGUCACUCUGCAGUUUCCAGCGGUUGACAUUGACAUUGACCCAAUUGGUUAGUUUCGAUAAUCGGGUAUUAUUAAAUAUCAAUAUUCUUGUUUGUUCAACGCUGCACGAGCUAAGCUACGCUUUCAAAGAUCGCCGGACAGGUUCUCAAUCACAAUGGAGAAAUCAAUAACUUCUGCGCACAAAUCAAAUAAAAAUGUUGUCAUUUGCAUAUGCUAAGGCACAUCGAUAUGAGUUGUUGGCCAAUAACAAACGAAAGUUCUGUGUGCCAAACCAGUCUCUGAAAUCUGCGAAGACUAGGACUGGCUUUCUUUGUGACUCGCAUUGUUUAUUUUGGUCGAGCUCCGUUGGCUUACAGCCCAACCAGUGGGUUUAUAACUCACCUGGGAUUAUGCAAUGCCAGCCGGGUCAGAAGUCAGCGACGGACCCCCGAUGACGACGGCACAUUUAAAUAAAUUAUGCAAACUGGCUGGAAUCGAUGCGAUCAUUUA